RNAcentral lists this unclassified non-coding RNA (311 nucleotides) under uncultured fungus. RNAcentral describes it as "partial contains 5.8S ribosomal RNA and internal transcribed spacer 2". The stretch from base 1 to 133 matches the Rfam family "5.8S ribosomal RNA", at positions 22 to 154 of the family's 154-position model. Lineage: Eukaryota; Fungi. The record is from RNAcentral.
UGGUUCUGGCAUNGAUGAAGAACGCAGCGAAAUGCGAUAAGUAAUGUGAAUUGCGGAAUUCAGUGAAUCAUCGAAUCUUUGAACGCACAUUGCGCCCUCUGGUAUUCCGGGGGGCAUGCCUGUCCGAGCGUCAUUACAACCCUCAAGCUCUGCUUGGUAUUGGGUGCCACCCCCGGGUGCAUCUCAAACUUAGUGGCGGUGCCACCUGGCGUCAAGCGUAGUAACUUUCUCGCUUUGGAGCCUUGGUGUGCUCUUGCCAUCAACCCCAAUUUUCAAAGGUUGACCUCGGAUCAGGUAGGGAUACCCGCUGA